UGGCGGCAUGCCUAAUACAUGCAAGUCGAACGGUGAUGAUGGCUUCGGUCAUCUGAUCAGUGGCGAACGGGUGAGUAACACGUGAGAAACCUGCCUUCGAGUCGAGGAUAACUACUGGAAACGGUAGCUAAAACUGGAUGGAAUAUUUAGAGGCAUCUCUUUAUAUUAAAAAGUCCUUAUGGGAAUGCUUGAAGAUGGUCUUGCGUCGCAUUAGCUAGUUGGUAGGGUAGUGGCCUACCAAGGCGACGAUGCGUAGCUGUGCUGAGAGGCAGAACAGCCACACUGGGACUGAGACACGGCCCAGACUCCUACGGGAGGCAGCAGUAGGGAAUUUUCGGCAAUGGACGAAAGUCUGACCGAGCAAUGCCGCGUGAAUGAUGAAAUUCUUCGGAAUGUAAAAUUCUGUUAUUUGUGAAAGAAAGGUAUUAGUAGGAAAUGACUAGUAUUUGACGGUACCAAAUGAGAAAGCCCCGGCUAACUAUGUG
This 485-nucleotide ribosomal RNA is filed under the name uncultured bacterium. RNAcentral's name for it is "bacterial SSU rRNA". It matches the Rfam family "Bacterial small subunit ribosomal RNA", at positions 37 to 507 of the family's 1533-position model. The record is from RNAcentral.